This 439-nucleotide ribosomal RNA is filed under the name uncultured bacterium. RNAcentral's name for it is "bacterial SSU rRNA". It matches the Rfam family "Bacterial small subunit ribosomal RNA", at positions 354 to 796 of the family's 1533-position model. The record is from RNAcentral.
GUGGGGAAUAUUGCGCAAUGGGCGAAAGCCUGACGCAGCGACGCCGCGUGUGGGAUGAAGGUCUUCGGAUUGUAAACCACUGUCGGGAGGGACGAAUGCGCCGCAAGGCGAGUGACGGUACCUCCAAAGGAAGCACCGGCUAACUCUGUGCCAGCAGCCGCGGUAAUACAGAGGGUGCGAGCGUUGUCCGGAAUCACUGGGCGUAAAGGGCGCGUAGGCGGCUUGGUAAGUAGGGGGUGAAAUCUUGCGGCUCAACUGCAAGGCUGCCUCCUAAACUGCCUGGCUGGAGCACGGUAGAGGCAGAUGGAAUUCCCGGUGUAGCGGUGGAAUGCGUAGAGAUCGGGAAGAACAUCGGUGGCGAAGGCGGUCUGCUGGGCCGUUGCUGACGCUGAGGCGCGACAGCGUGGGGAGCAAACAGGAUUAGAUACCCGGGUAGUCC